GAGGAGUGUCCGAGUGGUUUGUCGUCCGGUUCUUGAACAUAAGCAUAGUGAAGAUGACCGAGGGUUCGAAUCCCUCCU
This 78-nucleotide transfer RNA is filed under the name Eutreptiella gymnastica. Lineage: Eukaryota; Euglenozoa; Euglenophyceae; Eutreptiales; Eutreptiaceae. The record is from RNAcentral.